Molecule: ribosomal RNA, 119 nt
Filed under: Pteropus alecto (black flying fox)
Lineage: Eukaryota; Metazoa; Chordata; Mammalia; Chiroptera; Pteropodidae
Source: RNAcentral
GUCUACAACCAUGCCACCCUGAACAAGCCCGAUCCCGUCUGAUCUUGGAAGCUAAGCAGGGUCGGGCCUGGUUAGUACUUGGACCCCCGAACGCCUAGGAAGACUAGGUGCUGUAGGCA